RNAcentral lists this transfer RNA (77 nucleotides) under Candidatus Alistipes excrementavium. RNAcentral describes it as "tRNA-Ala". It matches the Rfam family "tRNA". From Rfam's summary of the family: Transfer RNA (tRNA) molecules are approximately 80 nucleotides in length. Their secondary structure includes four short double-helical elements and three loops (D, anti-codon, and T loops). Further hydrogen bonds mediate the characteristic L-shaped molecular structure. tRNAs have two regions of fundamental functional importance: the anti-codon, which is responsible for specific mRNA codon recognition, and the 3' end, to which the tRNAs corresponding amino acid is attached (by aminoacyl-tRNA synthetases). tRNAs cope with the degeneracy of the genetic code in two manners: having more than one tRNA (with a specific anti-codon) for a particular amino acid; and 'wobble' base-pairing, i.e. permitting non-standard base-pairing at the 3rd anti-codon position. The record is from RNAcentral. Lineage: Bacteria; Pseudomonadati; Bacteroidota; Bacteroidia; Bacteroidales; Rikenellaceae.
GGGGGAUUAGCUCAGCUGGUUAGAGCGCUUGCAUGGCAUGCAAGAGGUCGCGAGUUCGAAUCUCGCAUUCUCCACCA